Molecule: non-coding RNA, 66 nt
Organism: Equus caballus (horse)
Lineage: Eukaryota; Metazoa; Chordata; Mammalia; Perissodactyla; Equidae
Source: Rfam
CACCGGGCAAGCCACCUUGGCUGGUGUGGUCCAGAUAAGCCAGCUUGUUUACAUGCUUAUUCCAUU